GGGGAUGUAGCUCAGUGGUUGAGUGUUUGUCUUGAAUACCAAGGCCCUGGGUCCAUCCCUG
RNAcentral lists this transfer RNA (61 nucleotides) under Dipodomys ordii (Ord's kangaroo rat). It matches the Rfam family "tRNA". Rfam says of the family: Transfer RNA (tRNA) molecules are approximately 80 nucleotides in length. Their secondary structure includes four short double-helical elements and three loops (D, anti-codon, and T loops). Lineage: Eukaryota; Metazoa; Chordata; Mammalia; Rodentia; Heteromyidae. The record is from Rfam by way of RNAcentral.